Molecule: ribosomal RNA, 231 nt
Filed under: uncultured bacterium
Lineage: Bacteria
Description: partial 16S ribosomal RNA
Rfam family: Bacterial small subunit ribosomal RNA
Source: RNAcentral
GAUUGGCUCAGGACGAACGCUGGCGGCGUGCCUAAUACAUGCAAGUAGAACGCUGAAGGAGGAGCUUGCUUCUCUGGAUGAGUUGCGAACGGGUGAGUAACGCGUAGGUAACCUGCCUGGUAGCGGGGGAUAACUAUUGGAAACGAUAGCUAAUACCGCAUAAGAGUAGAUGUUGCAUGACAUUUGCUUAAAAGGUGCAAUUGCAUCACUACCAGAUGGACCUGCGUUGUA